Dreissena polymorpha is the source of this 1738-nucleotide long non-coding RNA. RefSeq lists it as uncharacterized. Lineage: Eukaryota; Metazoa; Mollusca; Bivalvia; Myida; Dreissenidae. The transcript has 2 exons. The record is from RefSeq and is a predicted model, not a curated record.
AAUCUGUUUCAGCAUCGUCACGUUACAAAAAAAAAUCUAACCAAAACAACUAAAUGUUAUGGAUUUCAAACCAUAACAUUUUAAUUUGAACAGUUGUUUUAUACGUGUAAAUGUCAAUUAUGGCGAUUUGUUCAAUGGAUCGAGCUACAAUCUCAACCCGGAAUCAAAUAACAGUUUCAUACGCUUAAAGAAACAGUCUAGGUGCAUGCAGACUAACACAAUAACAGUUUCAUACGCUUAAAGAAACAGUCUAGGUGCAUGCAGACUAACACAAUAACAGUUUCAUACGCUUAAAGAAACAGUCUAGGUGCAUGCAGACUAACACAAUAACAGUUUCAUACGCUUAAAGAAACAGUCUAGGUGCAUGCAGACUAACACAAUAACAGUUUCAUACGCUUAAAGAAACAGUCUAGGUGCAUGCAGACUAACACAAUAACAGUUUCAUACGCUUAAAGAAACAGUCUAGGUGCAUGCAGACUAACACAAUAACAGUUUCAUACGCUUAAAGAAACAGUCUAGGUGCAUGCAGACUAACACAAUAACAGUUUCAUACGCUUAAAGAAACAGUCUAGGUGCAUGCAGACUAACACAAUAACAGUUUCAUACGCUUAAAGAAACAGUCUAGGUGCAUGCAGACUAACACAAUAACAGUUUCAUACGCUUAAAGAAACAGUCUAGGUGCAUGCAGACUAACACAAUAACAGUUUCAUACGCUUAAAGAAACAGUCUAGGUGCAUGCAGACUAACACAAUAACAGUUUCAUACGCUUAAAGAAACAGUCUAGGUGCAUGCAGACUAACACAAUAACAGUUUCAUACGCUUAAAGAAACAGUCUAGGUGCAUGCAGACUAACACAAUAACAGUUUCAUACGCUUAAAGAAACAGUCUAGGUGCAUGCAGACUAACACAAUAACAGUUUCAUACGCUUAAAGAAACAGUCUAGGUGCAUGCAGACUAACACAAUAACAGUUUCAUACGCUUAAAGAAACAGUCUAGGUGCAUGCAGACUAACACAAUAACAGUUUCAUACGCUUAAAGAAACAGUCUAGGUGCAUGCAGACUAACACAAUAACAGUUUCAUACGCUUAAAGAAACAGUCUAGGUGCAUGCAGACUAACACAAUAACAGUUUCAUACGCUUAAAGAAACAGUCUAGGUGCAUGCAGACUAACACAAUAACAGUUUCAUACGCUUAAAGAAACAGUCUAGGUGCAUGCAGACUAACACAAUAACAGUUUCAUACGCUUAAAGAAACAGUCUAGGUGCAUGCAGACUAACACAAUAACAGUUUCAUACGCUUAAAGAAACAGUCUAGGUGCAUGCAGACUAACACAAUAACAGUUUCAUACGCUUAAAGAAACAGUCUAGGUGCAUGCAGACUAACACAAUAACAGUUUCAUACGCUUAAAGAAACAGUCUAGGUGCAUGCAGACUAACACAAUAACAGUUUCAUACGCUUAAAGAAACAGUCUAGGUGCAUGCAGACUAACACAAUAACAGUUUCAUACGCUUAAAGAAACAGUCUAGGUGCAUGCAGACUAACACAAUAACAGUUUCAUACGCUUAAAGAAACAGUCUAGGUGCAUGCAGACUAACACAAUAACAGUUUCAUACGCUUAAAGAAACAGUCUAGGUGCAUGCAGACUAACACAAUAACAGUUUCAUACGCUUAAAGAAACAGUCUAGGUGCAUGCAGACUAACACAAUAACAGUUUCAUACGCUUAAAGAAACAGUCUAG